This 253-nucleotide unclassified non-coding RNA is filed under the name uncultured Sphingobacteriales bacterium. RNAcentral's name for it is "contains 16S-23S intergenic spacer region". It matches the Rfam family "Bacterial small subunit ribosomal RNA", at positions 524 to 776 of the family's 1533-position model. The record is from RNAcentral. Lineage: Bacteria; Pseudomonadati; Bacteroidota; Sphingobacteriia; Sphingobacteriales.
UACGGAGGAUCCAAGCGUUGUCCGGAUUUAUUGGGUUUAAAGGGUGCGUAGGCGGGAUAUUAUGUCAGUGGUGAAAGCCUGCAGCUUAACUGUAGAAUUGCCAUUGAAACUGAUAUUCUUGAGUUCGGUUGAGGUGGAUGGAAUAUAUCAUGUAGCGGUGAAAUGCUUAGAUAUGAUAUAGAACACCGAUUGCGAAGGCAGUCCACUAAGCCGUUACUGACGCUGAGGCACGAAAGCAUGGGUAUCGAACAGG